RNAcentral lists this ribosomal RNA (254 nucleotides) under uncultured bacterium. RNAcentral's name for it is "partial 16S ribosomal RNA". It matches the Rfam family "Bacterial small subunit ribosomal RNA", at positions 524 to 776 of the family's 1533-position model. The record is from RNAcentral.
UACGUAGGGUGCGAGCGUUUAAUCGGAAUUACUGGGCGUAAAGCGUGCGCAGGCGGUAAUGCAAGACAGAUGUGAAAUCCCAGGGCUUAACCUUGGAACUGCAUUUGUGACUGCAUUGCUGGAGUGCGGCAGAGGGGGAUGGAAUUCCGCGUGUAGCAGUGAAAUGCGUAGAUAUGCGGAGGAACACCGAUGGCGAAGGCAAUCCCCUGGGCCUGCACUGACGCUCAUGCACGAAAGCGUGGGGAGCAAACAGG